UGUAACAGCAACUCCAUGUGGAAUGCCCGUCUUUCCAGUGGGGCUGCUGUUAUCCG
RNAcentral lists this microRNA precursor (56 nucleotides) under Oryctolagus cuniculus (rabbit). RNAcentral describes it as "Ocu-Mir-194-P4_pre stem-loop". It matches the Rfam family "mir-194 microRNA precursor family", at positions 14 to 72 of the family's 82-position model. Rfam says of the family: The hairpin precursors (represented here) are predicted based on base pairing and cross-species conservation -- their extents are not known. In this case the mature sequence is excised from the 5' arm of the hairpin. Lineage: Eukaryota; Metazoa; Chordata; Mammalia; Lagomorpha; Leporidae. The record is from RNAcentral.